This 82-nucleotide non-coding RNA is filed under the name pig gut metagenome. RNAcentral's name for it is "pemK RNA". It matches the Rfam family "pemK RNA". The record is from RNAcentral.
ACAAUGGUACUCCUGUCCAGCCACAGCUACACACAAUGGGGACAGCUCGGAGAGAUCCUCGGAGGGAUGAAAAGUCCCGUGA